AAGUCAUAACAAGGUUUCUGUAGGUGAACCUGCAGAAGGAUCAUUAUUGAAUUUGUUAAAAUGGGGGAGAGUUUGACUCUCCUCUACAUUCUUUAUUCCCUAACACCUGUGAAUCGUUGCUGAGUUUUGCUCAGUGGCAACAUUUUUUUAUACACACAUUAAUAGUUUAAGAAACGUUAAAAAUUAUAAUAAUAAAAUACAA
Molecule: unclassified non-coding RNA, 202 nt
Filed under: plant metagenome
Description: partial contains small subunit ribosomal RNA and internal transcribed spacer 1
Rfam family: Eukaryotic small subunit ribosomal RNA (bases 1-46)
Source: RNAcentral